This 201-nucleotide ribosomal RNA is filed under the name uncultured bacterium. RNAcentral describes it as "partial 16S ribosomal RNA". It matches the Rfam family "Bacterial small subunit ribosomal RNA", at positions 28 to 219 of the family's 1533-position model. The record is from RNAcentral.
GACGAACGCUGGCGGCGUGCCUAACACAUGCAAGUGGAGCGACGACCCAGGGCUUCGGCCUGGUGCAAAGCCGCGAACGGGUGAGUAACACGUGGGUAACCUGCCCCGAUGAUUGGGACAACCCGAGGGAAACUCGGGCUAAUACCGAAUGUGCCCUCCAGCUAUAAGGCUGCGUGGGGAAAGGAAGCUUCGGCCUCCGCA